This is a long non-coding RNA of Girardinichthys multiradiatus, 1973 nucleotides long. RefSeq lists it as uncharacterized. The record is from RefSeq and is a predicted model, not a curated record. NCBI's taxonomy places the organism in Eukaryota, Metazoa, Chordata, Actinopteri, Cyprinodontiformes, Goodeidae. The transcript has 2 exons.
AGUUUAGUUUCCUGCUUAGUGUUUCUAUGCUUGUUUAUUGUUAGGUUAUUUGUUCUUGCUGCACUCUUCUAGUUCAUUAGUUUCUUUUCACUGUUCCUCCUCUUGUCAUUAGUUCCCCUUCAGUUAUUAUGUACUCAGUGUUUGUUUCCCUUUAUGUUAGUAGUUCUUCCCAGCCUUAUCCCUAGUUGAAUUCCCCGUGUUGGUUUCUAUUGUUUUAGUUUCUUCUAUAGGUUAGCUUGUAGUUAUUGUUUGCCACUAUACUUUGUUCCACUUGUCGUUUACGUUUUGAUUUGCAUUUAUUCUAGUCUUUGCUUUUCUCUGCUUUCCUCCCAGUUUGUUUCAGUCAGUGCUUGUUUGGGUUUGUUUACUUUUUUUGUUAGGGUUUCCUUUAUGGUUUCUUUUGUUAAUUCUUAUUUGCCAGGUUCUUAUAGCUGAGGUUGUUAUAGUUUUCCUAGAUCUGUUUCUCUGAGUUUGUUAAUUAGUCCCUUCUCCCAUGGUUUAGUUUUGUAUUAGUUUCACCUGUCCUUCAGCCUCCCUGCUUGCCAUGUCACACCUGUCCCUAGUUCCAUUGAUUACCUGUCUAUUGUUCCACACUCAUUUCCCUCUGUAUAUUACUUGGUCUGUUUUCUUUGUUCCCUGCUGGUUUGUUGCAUCAACUUCCCAAAUUGUUUCUCUGUCUGACCUGGAAUCCUGUAAAACUCACUGUUACACCCUGCCUGCCUGCCUUCUGUUUAGCCGGAGUUUGGAUUUAAAUAAGUCAUCGUUCUGCUCGCCAUGCCGUGUCCUCGCCUGCCUCUGCACUUUGGUCCACAAAAAUCCCUGAGUAUGACAAUCAGGACAUCUCUGUACACUUCUAUAUUUCUGCAAAAAGAUUGUUCCUGCAAACAGAGCCCUCUUCAUCUGGAUUAAGAGGAAAAUCAAACGAAUCAUCUUCUGCAUUUUGCUUGUGGAAAACAUUUACAGUUUUCUGGAUUUUCUUCUUUUUUUUUUUUAUGGGACUUAUGGAUCCCAAACUUCAUGGAUUUAAGGUCAAUAUGACUUGUAUUGUUGAACAUGCAUUCAUUGAUAUACCUGCAGAAGACUUUCCAAACCAGCCUGCAGAUAUAAUUACCAUUAUGAUUAUUAUACAGAGGUCUCAUUGUUAAAUCUCUUUUGUUGUGAUGAUGGCAUCUAGUGGUGUCACCAUAGUCUACCUGGGAAGGCACAUUUGCCGUAUGGUUAUAAAUGGACAGUCCCUUUCCAGUGCACAACUCGGUAGCCAAGUGAGGGUCACCGUCAUUGGGAUCCUUCAGGGUCUCCUGUUUUUCCUUUGCUGUAUGGUGGGAGUACGCAUUUGUUUCUCAGCACUAUCAGUCAGCUUUCAUAACUCCUUUUUAUAUAUGAUCAACGGUGGUCAGCUUCUACGUGUCUGGCACCACAUUUAACCUGGGAGCUGGUCAAUCUGUAUUUAGGCAGAGAGCAGCAGAUGUAUGGAGCAGAGUAGGCCGGAGGUGCAAAAGCUCACAUCAAAGAGAGCUCUAGUAUGAAAAAUUUAAGAAAAACGGCAAAAUGCUUCAAAGAAAAAUGACUAAAUGCAUUAUCUCCUUCAGGUAAAACAUUUUACUCACUCCAUUGCUUUCAAUGUGCAAAUAUUAUGAAUUUGUAUUCACACGGCUCAAAGAUUGUGUCUGAUAUUCAUCUGUGAUGUGAGCAAAUGUCCUGUAAUUUGGGACGUCAACUUCAUGGUCGUUUUAACUUUGAUGUGCAUUGCUUGCAAUUCUUUCUCAAAAACUAUCACAGCAACAUUUCAUACCACAACCUGCUGCCUAGUGGUAAACUAUGUGCUUUAAUGCUGAUAUUUAAAUAUGUAUCAUCAGUAGCAAAUCUGCCAUGGAUUAACAAUUUGAGAAGCAUUUUUUUCUGUGUUUGUGAUGUGUUGAUUCUUGUGUUUUAUUCAGACAUACCUUUUUAUUUGAAUAAAAAUCUUGCAUAUU